This is a long non-coding RNA of Musca domestica (house fly), 4628 nucleotides long. RefSeq lists it as uncharacterized. The transcript is spliced from 4 exons. The record is from RefSeq and is a predicted model, not a curated record. NCBI's taxonomy places the organism in Eukaryota, Metazoa, Arthropoda, Insecta, Diptera, Muscidae.
CAAAUUGCUACAUUAUUCUGAAUGCAUUCCCAAUCAAUUUUUUUAUGUGCACACAACUAAAAUAGGGCAACGAUUGCUACAAUAAUUACCUGAAAAUGGACGUAUCGUGCUUAAGGACUGUAAAGUAACGAGUUCUGCUGAAUUUUCUUAUUAAAAUGCGCGGAUAAAUAGCAGUUACGUUUUGAAGAAAGUAUGUAAUGAUCAAACAUGCUACGACGUUACUUUGUCCUUGACCUAUGAUAAACUUCACCACAACUGAAAGCAACUUUUAACAAAACUUACAAGAGUGUGCUGCGUUUGCUAUGCCUAACCAUUAAAUUAAACCAAUUUGACUGACUCUUGCCGCCAACAUAGUAACAAAACGAACAAUACAAACACCACCUAUAUCAUUCACCCUAAAUUAACAUCCCGUUUGUUCAGAGAAGCAAUGAAAAGCCGAUAACAAUAAAUCAACUACUUCGACAUCGAUGAGUUUGUUGUCAGCACUGUAGUGUGAGGGUGUGAGUGCCAUUUGACAUUCUGAUUCAAAGCUCCUUUUUAUUCCUAUUGUCCCACCAAUCUGUGCAUACUAUUUACCGCUAAAAUACAUCUCAUACUCUGACAUAAAAAGUGAUGACUUCGAUUACCAUCACGACAUCGACAUGAAAAGGUUGCCAGCGCUGAAGUGGGAAUUACUUUGACAUUUUUCUUCAAACUUGUGCAUUUCUUUGAAUCGCGAAUGCAUGUGUGCACGAUCAUCAUCAACCGCCAAAAUGGAAGAAGCACAUAUUGUAGCAAAAAUAUGCAACAGAGGCAACUAAACAGGCAACAAUAUAGCCGACAUCAUAUCAACUAUGCGUAAAAAGAUUCCAAAGAAUGCUGAACUUGAAGCUGAAUUGCCUAUCAUUGCGUAGGAAAAAGUUGCGAUUUACUUGAACCAAUGUACGUUGUUACUUCGCGGUAUAUUUCGAAGGAGUAGGGUGUGCUACUGGCUAUGGCGUCCUAGCAAUGUCAACCUUCCGAUAACCAGAUACUUUCCAAAAAGUGUGGUAAUGUGGACAACCAGUUAUGAUAUUAGACUUGGUGAAUCUAUAACCCUUGGACUUGCGUCAUCCAGAACCUUAUUUAAAGAAUUUUCGGGACAUCCCAAAUGUUACAUCAACUGUCUAAAUAGUAAUUUAGUGUCAAACCACCCUUUGUAUUAUAGGAAGUCUUUCAGUGUAUGAAGAAAUGAUUACAGGACGCUAAUGGUAAACCAAUGCUGCUCAAAUUGAAAGACUGCCUUGUGGAUGACAUUGCUGAAAUAUAACCGACGCAUUAUAAGUAGAAUGUGAUUGGAUUGCAUUUGCCAGCAUAUACGUUACACACGAAACAUUUCAGCAUAGCAAGUUGCUCGCCAAAAAUGUUGUUCGACCGAAACUUUAACGAAAGAUGCACAGUGAAUAUGGCUCAGCCUUCCAUCUCUAUAAAGGAACGACAAGCUGAGGCGCUGUCAAUAUAACGAUAUAUGUAGGAAAACCAGAAUAUUCCGACUAACUUUUUUAUUUUAGUAAUGUAUAAUUGGAAGCUGGAUUGCGUUAUGAAAGUAUCUGUGUAUAUAUUUCAACAAACUAUAGUCAUACCAAAGGACCACAAGCGCAGAUUAAAUUAAUUUGAAAUCUUGACUUCAACUCCAUAACAUUUAUGUAUCCACAUCUAUUUUUAAUUAUGUUAUUGGGGAUAAAAGCUAUAAUAUUGCCGACAGCAUAUCAGCUCUAUAUCUGCAAAGGAAUACUUGCAAAUUAAAUCAAAUUCCUACAUUAUUCUGAAGGCGUCUCCAACCAAUUUUUUAUGUGCACACAACUAAAAUAGGGCAACGAUUGCUACAAUAAUUACCUGAAAAUGGACGUAUCGUCCUUAAGGACUGUAAAGUAACGAGUUCUGCUGAAUUUUCUUAUUAAAAUGCGCGGAUAAAUAGCAGUUACGUUUUGAAGAAAGUAUGUAAUGAUCAAACAUGCUACGACGUUACUUUGUCCUUGACCUAUGAUAAACUUCACCACAACUGAAAGCAACUUUUAACAAAACUUACAAGAGUGUGCUGCGUUUGCUAUGCCUAACCAUUAAAUUAAACCAAUUUGACUGACUCUUGCCGCCAACAUAGUAACAAAACGAACAAUACAAACACCACCUAUAUCAUUCACCCUAAAUUAACAUCCCGUUUGUUCAGAGAAGCAAUGAAAAGCCGAUAACAAUAAAUCAACUACUUCGACAUCGAUGAGUUUGUUGUCAGCACUGUAGUGUGAGGGUGUGAGUGCCAUUUGACAUUCUGAUUCAAAGCUCCUUUUUAUUCCUAUUGUCCCACCAAUCUGUGCAUACUAUUUACCGCUAAAAUACAUCUCAUACUCUGACAUAAAAAGUGAUGACUUCGAUUACCAUCACGACAUCGACAUGAAAAGGUUGCCAGCGCUGAAGUGGGAAUUACUUUGACAUUUUUCUUCAAACUUGUGCAUUUCUUUGAAUCGCGAAUGCAUGUGUGCACGAUCAUCAUCAACCGCCAAAAUGGAAGAAGCACAUAUUGUAGCAAAAAUAUGCAACAGAGGCAACUAAACAGGCAACAAUAUAGCCGACAUCAUAUCAACUAUGCGUAAAAAGAUUCCAAAGAAUGCUGAACUUGAAGCUGAAUUGCCUAUCAUUGCGUAGGAAAAAGUUGCGAUUUACUUGAACCAAUGUACGUUGUUACUUCGCGGUAUAUUUCGAAGGAGUAGGGUGUGCUACUGGCUAUGGCGUCCUAGCAAUGUCAACCUUCCGAUAACCAGAUACUUUCCAAAAAGUGUGGUAAUGUGGACAACCAGUUAUGAUAUUAGACUUGGUGAAUCUAUAACCCUUGGACUUGCGUCAUCCAGAACCUUAUUUAAAGAAUUUUCGGGACAUCCCAAAUGUUACAUCAACUGUCUAAAUAGUAAUUUAGUGUCAAACCACCCUUUGUAUUAUAGGAAGUCUUUCAGUGUAUGAAGAAAUGAUUACAGGACGCUAAUGGUAAACCAAUGCUGCUCAAAUUGAAAGACUGCCUUGUGGAUGACAUUGCUGAAAUAUAACCGACGCAUUAUAAGUAGAAUGUGAUUGGAUUGCAUUUGCCAGCAUAUACGUUACACACGAAACAUUUCAGCAUAGCAAGUUGCUCGCCAAAAAUGUUGUUCGACCGAAACUUUAACGAAAGAUGCACAGUGAAUAUGGCUCAGCCUUCCAUCUCUAUAAAGGAACGACAAGCUGAGGCGCUGUCAAUAUAACGAUAUAUGUAGGAAAACCAGAAUAUUCCGACUAACUUUUUAUUUUAGUAAUGUAUAAUUGGAAGCUGGAUUGCGUUAUGAAAGUAUCUGUGUAUAUAUUUCAACAAACUAUAGUCAUACCAAAGGACCACAAGCGCAGAUUAAAUUAAUUUGAAAUCUUGACUUCAACUCCAUAACAUUUAUGUAUCCACAUCUAUUUUUAAUUAUGUUAUUGGGGAUAAAAGCUAUAAUAUUGCCGACAGCAUAUCAGCUCUAUAUCUGCAAAGGAAUACUUGCAAAUUAAAUCAAAUUCCUACAUUAUUCUGAAGGCGUCUCCAACCAAUUUUUUAUGUGCACACAACUAAAAUAGGGCAACGAUUGCUACAAUAAUUACCUGAAAAUGGACGUAUCGUCCUUAAGGACUGUAAAGUAACGAGUUCUGCUGAAUUUUCUUAUUAAAAUGCGCGGAUAAAUAGCAGUUACGUUUUGAAGAAAGUAUGUAAUGAUCAAACAUGCUACGACGUUACUUUGUCCUUGACCUAUGAUAAACUUCACCACAACUGAAAGCAACUUUUAACAAAACUUACAAGAGUGUGCUGCGUUUGCUAUGCCUAACCAUUAAAUUAAACCAAUUUGACUGACUCUUGCCGCCAACAUAGUAACAAAACGAACAAUACAAACACCACCUAUAUCAUUCACCCUAAAUUAACAUCCCGUUUGUUCAGAGAAGCAAUGAAAAGCCGAUAACAAUAAAUCAACUACUUCGACAUCGAUGAGUUUGUUGUCAGCACUGUAGUGUGAGGGUGUGAGUGCCAUUUGACAUUCUGAUUCAAAGCUCCUUUUUAUUCCUAUUGUCCCACCAAUCUGUGCAUACUAUUUACCGCUAAAAUACAUCUCAUACUCUGACAUAAAAAGUGAUGACUUCGAUUACCAUCACGACAUCGACAUGAAAAGGUUGCCAGCGCUGAAGUGGGAAUUACUUUGACAUUUUUCUUCAAACUUGUGCAUUUCUUUGAAUCGCGAAUGCAUGUGUGCACGAUCAUCAUCAACCGCCAAAAUGGAAGAAGCACAUAUUGUAGCAAAAAUAUGCAACAGAGGCAACUAAACAGGCAACAAUAUAGCCGACAUCAUAUCAACUAUGCGUAAAAAGAUUCCAAAGAAUGCUGAACUUGAAGCUGAAUUGCCUAUCAUUGCGUAGGAAAAAGUUGCGAUUUACUUGAACCAAUGUACGUUGUUACUUCGCGGUAUAUUUCGAAGGAGUAGGGUGUGCUACUGGCUAUGGCGUCCUAGCAAUGUCAACCUUCCGAUAACCAGAUACUUUCCAAAAAGUGUGGUAAUGUGGACAACCAGUUAUGAUAUUAGACUAAUGCUGUCGCCGACAUAAAACGUAUACAUUGGAGGAAA